CCGGGCCUUCAGACAACAGUGUGGCCGGAAUGUCCGUGCACCGCGCGCGCAGCUCAGGUCUCCAGGGCCGCCCUGCCCGGGCUCCUCCAUCCCGUAGACCAAUCCUUCCCACCACCUGCAAGGUCAGUCCCACCACCUGCAAGGUCAACGAAUCACUCCAGCAUCCCGCAGGGGCAGGAAGAGCUGUGAUGAGGGCCCCUCCUUGGGGUCGGUCGGCACAUGGCCAAGGGCGGGGGGUCAGAGAGUGGGAUGGUCCUCGUGGCUCUGGAUGGGGCUGUACCUGCCGGAGAGCCUUGAUGACGAGGGGCCGGGAGGGCACGUGCAGAGGGCAGCUGGCGAGGCAGCCCCAGACCUGGGACGGCUAGAUGGUCGCCGCGGGAGGUGGCUCUGCUGAAGGCUGCCGGAUGUGGGGGCCAGCUGCACCUCCCUUUCCGUCUUCUCUCUCGCGUCGUCUGGUUCCCGGGGCCUUCCUUGCUCCCCCACCCACGGGGCGUGCUUACGUUUUACAGGCUGUGUACACGGGUACUGGGCGCGGACGAGCGCUCCGACCCGGGCCAUAGGCCCCAGGCCAGCUGCUCCAGGUGCCGGCCGAGACCUCCUGCUCCUGAGACACAGGCUGCCUCUGUUGAGCCCGCCCUGCUUCCCGCCGUGGGCCUGGACAGCCCAGGGUGAGGGACGCCGGUUGGCCAGGACAGGGCACGGCGUGGCACCAGCAGCCUGGAGGGGCAGGAGCAGGGCCGGGUUACGCUGGGGAGGACCACGUGAGCCUGCCAGGCCAGCCUCACCCUGCGCGCCCCUACGUGCUGUCACCCACGCGUGGGACAGCCACCGGUCGCGUGGGAGCAGCAGGGGGACUGGGUGGGGUCAUCGCAGGGAGCUCCGGGGGUGAGGGUGUGGGGCUGACAGAGUCCUCCGUUUGUGCCCCUUGUCCCAGCCCCUGGGAUGGGACCGGCCCUUCCUGACUCGGGGAGCUGGCCCGACCACAAGCAUGACAGGAAGGAAGGCAGGAAGGAAGGCAGGAGUGAAGCAGGUGUUUAUGCGCUCGUGGGAAGGGAAAUGGUCCUGAGCCAGUGGUGUGUGACAGUCACUGGGUUUGCCCUUUUGGUGGCACCAAGUGAGGAGCUGGGAAGAAAGGGACCAUUUAGAGUCAGCUGGGGGGGGGGCGUGUGGGCCCCCCCACAUUUCCUCUUCUUGAGGAGAGACCUGAGUCCUGGAGGGCACUGCUUCUCGGGGUCCCACUGCCCCCCGCCUCUCGCCCCUGGCCAGGAGGAGUCCCGGCAUGUGGGGCUCUGAUGGCCCAGAAGAGGACAGACCUCGGACUCAGGGCCGCGGACCGCUGGCCUGCACUUCCUCCGGAGAGAUGGAAGCUCCCCGGCUACCGGGGAGCAACGGGGGUCUUUUUCUGUUGGGUCUCGUGAUGACUUUUGGCAACCCCCAAAAGCGAGUUUCCAAGUAGACUGAACAAUUAGUCACUUCCAUUCACGUGUGCCUGCUCAGAAUGUCACCACCAGCUGUGUCCCCCGAUAAGGGCUGAGUCCUGCUGGCAGUCAGAGACCACUGGGCGGGGAUGGCUGGGCUGUGGCACCCUGGCCUACUGGGACCCUGGGAGGUGUCACGAUGCCCCGGGGAGAGCAGAGGGUGCUAGGGACCCCUGGGCAGAGCAGAGGGCGCUAGGGACCCCUGGGCAGCAGCCUGGUGGAGGAAGUGGGCACCAGAGGGCGCGGCUGACGGAGAGGGUGUGACACGGGCCAGGCAGGGGCUUAGCGAGGCUGGGCUCUCUGCAGCGGCAGUCGGGGUCUCCAAUGGACAGCAGCUCGGCUGGUGGACUCUGAGUGGCUGUGCAGAACCAUGGAGACAGGAAGGGAGCUGCCCUCUGACCUUUGCUGCCUUGAGGAUGCACCCACUUACAAUGGCUCCCCGCCUCUUGAUGGCGACACUUGGGGAAGUCGCUUUGAGUCUCUCACGUCAGCUCAAUAAGCUGUUUGUUCUCUUGUCCUACAAAGAACCUGGGCCCAAGACCACCCCCGGGGAUUGCUCUAGUAUGGAGUGUCUGAAACGCAGCCUCGGUCUGGCUCUGCGGCACGCUCAGUGGGAUUCUGGAAGCUUCCCCCCCACCAGCCUAGGCCUGGUUCCCAAUCCAGAGCAGCUGGGCUCUGAGUCUCAGCUACAGGGCGCCCUUGCUCCCCACGCCUGGCAGGCUGCCCCUCGGGGCCGGAGCCGGGUGGAGUUCGCAGGACACAGAAAACAUGGGUGCCAUUAUUCUGCAAAGGCGGUCCUCGCCGCGCCCACCCCCGCCUCUCCCCAAACCCCUGCUGGGGGCAGUGGACUUCAAGGAGAAGCUCCUUGGCAGAGUGCUCCGCUCAGCAAGCCCUUUGAUCAGCCAGAGGUCUGGGCAUGCCUGUCGUAGCCGAGGCCGGGGGCGGGGCAGCCGUGCGAGGCUCGGUCACCCCCUCGGGGCCGCGGGCCGCAGCUGCAGGAGAUGCUGCUGGGGGCGCUUUCCCAGGUCUGAGCCCACACCCAGCUGGAGGACGGGGCCCACACACUCAGCUCUGGCCUGGGGCCGGGAGUGGUUUUCCCUGGGCUGCCUUGCUCUCUCUGGCUCCUUGGCCCGGCUCCUGGAGGAAGGGGAGGCCCAGACACAGAGCACCAGGCGCAGGCUGACAUGUCGGGACCGAGCGCUCCCGGGGCCCGGUGCGCGGAAACGCGUGCGCGGCCCCCUUGGGCGCCGGAGCCCCGCGAGCUCGGUGCGUUCCUGCUCGGCUGCCUGCUCUCCCUCUCGUGGCUUCGGCCUGCCCCCCUCCCUGCCCCCCUGCCCUCCUGGGCUUCUCAGUCUUUUCCCUCUCCAGCCUGUGUGGCCAGGCCGGCUGCUCCGACGCCAACUUCAGUCAAAAGCCGCAGCGACUUGGCCCGCGGAGCAGACGGAGCAGGAGGGCCCUUAGCCGCUGUGCGUCCGGGCCCGGCCCACUCCCUGCCCCCCCCGGCUGAACUGACCGGUCCAGUAAACUAACCCAACCUCUUCCCCCUCCCAGGACGUCGCCGGCCCACCCCCAGAACCUUCCUCUAAUCUUCGGGCAAGCCUGAGAGGUUGCUUCCAGUUCAAGAGGCUCGGAGCUGAGGGCCUUGUGUGCACGCAGAUGUGACUCCUGAGACCUCCCGGGGAAGUCACUCUGCUGGGUGAGGCCUUCCCCUGUCCCUCUGUCACCCUUCCCAAGGUGUGGACCAGCCUGUCCCCAGGGCGUGCUCAGUGCCCGAGACACAGAGCGGUUUCCGGGGCGCAGAUGAGCUCAAGGUGCCCGGUGCAGGACUUACUUCUGGAUGAGCUGGUUGACGACAGGUGCUGCCCACGCACUGGGCCCUGUCCCCCCGGCACCGUGGUGACCAGGGGUCCACCACGAGGCUGGAAACCUGGUUUCCACUUGUCGUUUUAAAGAAGAAACAGAUCCUGCCUUGGUUGGCAGCUCCUGAGCAGGGGCGGGGGUCUGUGCACCCGGCCCAGGAGGCUCCAGGCCCGUCUUGGGUCAGGGUCCGGGGUCCGGUGCGGACACGUGGUACUCAGACCCGCCCGGACUGUGUGAG
Molecule: long non-coding RNA, 3576 nt
Filed under: Lynx pardinus (Iberian lynx)
Lineage: Eukaryota; Metazoa; Chordata; Mammalia; Carnivora; Felidae
Source: RNAcentral